UGCGUAGGCGGAAUAUUAAGUCAGUGGUGAAAUCCUGCGGCUCAACCGUAGAACUGCCAUUGAUACUGAUAUUCUUGAAUGUAGUUGAGGUAGGCGGAAUAUGUAAUGUAGCGGUGAAAUGCUUAGAUAUUACAUAGAACACCGAUUGCGAAGGCAGCUUACUAAACUGUGAUUGACGCUGAGGCACGAAAGCGUGGGGAGCGAACAGGAUUAGAUACCCUGGUAGUC
Molecule: ribosomal RNA, 228 nt
Filed under: uncultured bacterium
Lineage: Bacteria
Description: partial 16S ribosomal RNA
Rfam family: Bacterial small subunit ribosomal RNA
Source: RNAcentral